GGAUCAAUUGAUUGGUCAUGCCUUGGUAUGUACUGGUCAUAUUGGUUCUCACCUUCUAAUGAACCAUAAUGUCAUUUAUUUGAUGUUAUGGGGAAUUAGGACUGUUACCUUGAAAAAAUUAGAGUGCUCAAAGCAGGCAUCUUGCUUGAAUAUAUUAGCAUGGAAUAAUGGAAUAGGACG
RNAcentral lists this ribosomal RNA (180 nucleotides) under uncultured Glomeromycotina. RNAcentral describes it as "partial small subunit ribosomal RNA". It matches the Rfam family "Eukaryotic small subunit ribosomal RNA", at positions 654 to 829 of the family's 1831-position model. The record is from RNAcentral. Lineage: Eukaryota; Fungi; Glomeromycota.